UGCGGGGUCGUCUAAUGGUAGGACGCUCGGCUCUGGACCGAGUAGUCUAGGUUCGAAUCCUAGCCCCGCAGCCU
This 74-nucleotide transfer RNA is filed under the name Actinomycetes bacterium. RNAcentral describes it as "Actinobacteria bacterium tRNA-Gln". It matches the Rfam family "tRNA". From Rfam's summary of the family: Transfer RNA (tRNA) molecules are approximately 80 nucleotides in length. Their secondary structure includes four short double-helical elements and three loops (D, anti-codon, and T loops). Lineage: Bacteria; Bacillati; Actinomycetota; Actinomycetes. The record is from RNAcentral.